CAGGACAUAGAACAGAAACAAUAGGAUUAUAGGGAGAUGUUACCAGGAACAAUAUGACACACAGGAACAACAAUGACCCAACAAAAACUGAGUGAAGAAUAAAGGUCUAUAUGUAAAGGAUUGAAAAAAUUGUAAAUAAUAGGAAAAUGUAAAAACCAUACCAGAAAUGAGAUAAGAAAAAACACACAGGCCUACUAUAUAUUUAUUUAAAUGUUUCAUUUAUUUUCACUCAUUUAAUCAUUCGUUUGUACUCACAUCACUACAUUGUUAUGACAUUCUGGGGCCACAAGGCGGCGCCUCGCAUUUGUGGUAGAAUGUGAUUUACGCGAACACAGACACAAGAAUAAAUCUUCCUGCCACGAUGAUAAUGUCUGCAAAAGGUGUAUCUCCUUUAUUCUUACCACAGUUUUUUUGGAAUUAUUGCCAAAAUCAGGAAAAAAGCUAUUCUCCAGACAAGAAUAUAAUUUGCAGCAUCCUGACUAUCAGACCAGGGAGGCAACACAUACAGUAUACUGAGGGCACCUGGCGAGACGAGUGAGACUGAUGAACAGGAAAUAACAGG
Cynoglossus semilaevis (tongue sole) is the source of this 562-nucleotide long non-coding RNA. RefSeq lists it as uncharacterized. NCBI's taxonomy places the organism in Eukaryota, Metazoa, Chordata, Actinopteri, Pleuronectiformes, Cynoglossidae. The record is from RefSeq and is a predicted model, not a curated record. The transcript has 3 exons.